UGGUGAUACCCUUGUCUCCCCACCU
This 25-nucleotide non-coding RNA is filed under the name Mus musculus (house mouse). Lineage: Eukaryota; Metazoa; Chordata; Mammalia; Rodentia; Muridae. The record is from RNAcentral.